UGGCGGACGGGUGAGUAAUGUCUGGGAAACUGCCCGAUGGAGGGGGAUAACUACUGGAAACGGUAGCUAAUACCGCAUAACGUCGCAAGACCAAAGAGGGGGACCUUAGGGCCUCUUGCCAUCGGAUGUGCCCAGAUGGGAUUAGCUAGUAGGUGGGGUAAUGGCUCACCUAGGCGACGAUUCCUAGCUGGUCUGAGAGGAUGACCAGCCACACUGGAACUGAGACACGGUCCAG
This 235-nucleotide ribosomal RNA is filed under the name uncultured bacterium. Its description in RNAcentral is "partial 16S ribosomal RNA". It matches the Rfam family "Bacterial small subunit ribosomal RNA", at positions 96 to 334 of the family's 1533-position model. The record is from RNAcentral.